GCUGGUUCUCCCCGAAAUAGCUUUAGGGCUAGCCUCAUAUUAGAUUACCGGAGGUAAAGCACUGAAUGGCCUAGCGCCCGAGAGGGUAGCGAAGCCUAUCAAACUAAGAAUGCCGGAGUAUUGAUGUAUGGGAGUCAGACAGUGUGAGAUAAAUCUCAUUGUCAAAAGGGAAACAGCCCAGAUCUACAGCUAAGGUCCCAAAUUGUAUCUAAGUGGAAAACGAUGUGGAAAUACGCAGACAACCAGGAUGUUGGCUCAGAAGCAGCCACUCAUUUAAAGAGUGCGUAAUAGCUCACUGGUCGAGCGUCUCUGCGCGGAAAAUUUAACGGGGCUAAGAUACAAACCGAAGCUUAGGCUGUGUACAUUGUACACGGGGUAGGGGAGCGUUGUGUAAGCGGAGAAACAGUAGCGUAAGCGGCUGUGGAGUUUACAGAAGUGAGAAUGCCGGAAUGAGUAGCGCGAAUGUGGUGAGAAUCCACAUGGCCGGAAACCUCAGGUUUUUGGAGGAAGGUUCGUCCGCUCCAAGUUAGGCGGGAGCUAAGGUCAGGCCGAAAGGCGUAGCCGAUGCACAGACGGUAGAGAUUCCGUCCCCACCGAAAGAUUUAAGCACAGGGACACUUUUUGAAGGUCGGAGCCAGGUGUUGGUUCUGGUAGUGAUCGAGGGAAAUAUAGUACCGAAGUCCGGCUGGAUAAGAGGCGAGAAAAGCUGUGUGUAUAUCUAAGGUGCCCGUACCGCAAACCGACACAGGUAGGUAGGAAGAAGAUUCUAAGGCCAACGGGAGAAGGGUUGUUAAGGAACUCGGCAAGUUGACCCCGUAACUUCGGAAUAAGGGGUGCUCACGAGAGUGAGCCGCAGAGAAUAGGCCCAGGCAACUGUUUACCAAAAACACAGGUUUGUGCUAAAUCGAAAGAUGACGUAUACGAGCUGACGCCUGCCCGGUGCUGGAAGGUUAAGAGGAGAUGUGCAAGCAUUGAAUCGAAGCCCCAGUGAACGGCGGCCGUAACUAUAACGGUCCUAAGGUAGCGAAAUUCCUUGUCAGGUAAGUUCUGACCCGCAUGAAAGGCGUAAUGAUUUGGGCACUGUCUCAACAGCCCGCCCGGCGAAAUUGUAGUACCGGUGAAGAUGCCGGUUACCCGCGACAAGACGGAAAGACCCCAUGGAGCUUUACUGUAGCCUAAUAUUGGGUUUCGAUGUUGCAUGCACAGGAUAGAUGGGACACAGGGAAACAAUCGCUUUGGCGGUUGCGGAGUGGCCGUUGGGAUACCAUCCUUGCGAUAUUGGAAUUCUAACCUGCGGCUCUGAAUCGAGUCGGGGGACAUUGUUAGGUGGGCAGUUUGACUGGGGCGGUCGCCUCCUAAAAAGUAACGGAGGCGUUCAAAGGUUCGCUCAGCUUGAACGGAAAUCAAGCAAAAGAGUGCAAACGCAGAAGCGAGCCUAACUGCGAGACUGACGGGUCGAGCAGUAACGAAAGUUGGAGUUAGUGAUCCGGUGGUAUGUGAGUGGAAAUGCCAUCGCUCAACGGAUAAAAGCUACCCUGGGGAUAACAGGCUGAUCUCCCCCAAGAGUCCACAUCGACGGGGAGGUUUGGCACCUCGAUGUCGGCUCAUCGCAUCCUGGGGCUGUAUUCGGUCCCAAGGGUUUGGCUGUUCGCCAAUUAAAGCGGUACGCGAGCUGGGUUCAGAACGUCGUGAGACAGUUCGGUCCCUAUCUGUCGUGGGCGCAGGAUAUUUGAAAGGCGCUGUCCCUAGUACGAGAGGACCGGGAUGGACGAACCUCUGGUGCACCAGUUGUCACGCCAGUGGCACAGCUGGGCAGCUAUGUUCGGAUCGGAUAAACGCUGAAAGCAUCUAAGCGUGAAGCCGGCCUUAAGAUAAGAUAUCCCACUGAGUCAAUCAGGUAAGACCCCUUGAAGACUACAAGGUUGAUAGGCACACAGUGUAAGCGGAGUGAUCCGUUCAGCUAGCGUGUACUAAUAGGUCGAGGGCUUGACCCC
This 1994-nucleotide ribosomal RNA is filed under the name human gut metagenome. Its description in RNAcentral is "bacterial LSU rRNA". It matches the Rfam family "Bacterial large subunit ribosomal RNA", at positions 848 to 2925 of the family's 2925-position model. The record is from RNAcentral.